Non-coding RNA from Salmo salar (Atlantic salmon), 58 nucleotides. NCBI's taxonomy places the organism in Eukaryota, Metazoa, Chordata, Actinopteri, Salmoniformes, Salmonidae. The record is from Rfam.
UGCUGGCCUUUAUGUAAGUAAGUCGCUCUGGAUAAGAGCGUCUGCUAAAUGACGUAAA